Molecule: ribosomal RNA, 468 nt
Filed under: uncultured bacterium
Lineage: Bacteria
Description: partial 16S ribosomal RNA
Rfam family: Bacterial small subunit ribosomal RNA
Source: RNAcentral
GACGAACGCUGGCGGCGUGCUUAACGCAUGCAAGUCGAACGGAAAGGCCCUGCUUUUGUGGGGUGCUCGAGUGGCGAACGGGUGAGUAACACGUGAGUAACCUGCCCUUGACUUUGGGAUAACUUCAGGAAACUGGGGCUAAUACCGGAUAGGAGCUCCUGCUGCAUGGUGGGGGUUGGAAAGUUUCGGCGGUUGGGGAUGGACUCGCGGCUUAUCAGCUUGUUGGUGGGGUAGUGGCUUACCAAGGCUUUGACGGGUAGCCGGCCUGAGAGGGUGACCGGCCACAUUGGGACUGAGAUACGGCCCAGACUCCUACGGGAGGCAGCAGUGGGGAAUAUUGCACAAUGGGCGGAAGCCUGAUGCAGCAACGCCGCGUGCGGGAUGACGGCCUUCUGGUUGUAAACCGCUUUCGCCUGUGACGAAGCGUGAGUGACGGUAAUGGGUAAAGAAGCACCGGCUAACUACGUG